AGACGAAGGCCGGAGCGGUCCCUCGGACCCUCCAGCGGAGACUAGAGACGAAGGCCGGAGCGGUCCCUCGGACCCUCCAGCAGAAGCCAUCACUAAGCCAGCAGCCAUGGAGGCCACUAGCACACAUGAAAGCAACUGGCACUGCCCAGAGCACUGGCCCUGCCCAGGCAACGCUGACAUGAGGUGGUACUCAGGGGGCUGCUUAAACUGCAGGGGUCCAGAAUUAGCUGGGGCCUGACACCUAGCCUCUGGGGGAGCCCUGGAGUGGCAAACUGUACCAACGGCGGCUAACCCCUGAAAAGUACACUGAGAAGACGUAAGACUUCCUCCCUGCGUGGAGUGAACGGGUGAACCAGGUGGCCCUGGGGCCUGAACUACAAGUAACGGUGACACUGGAGGCACUGGGGCCUGGACUACAGGCGGCACUGGGGCCUGGACUACAGGCGGCACUGGGGCCUGGACUACAGGCGGCACUGGGGCCUGGACUACAGGCGGCACUGGGGCCUGGACUACAGGCGGCACUGGGGCCUGGACUACAGGCGGCACUGGGGCCUGGACUACAGGCGGCACUGGGGCCUGGACUACAGGCGGCACUGGGGCCUGGACUACAGGCGGCACUGGAGGCACUGGAGACUGAACUACUGGAGGCACUGGAGACUGAACGACAGGUGACACUGGAGGCACUGGAGACUGAACUACAGGUGACACUGGAGGCACUGGAGACUGAACUACAGGUGACACUGGAGGCACUGGAGACUGAACUACAGGUGACACUGGAGGCACUGGAGACUGAACUACAGGUGACACUGGGGGGAACUGAGCCGAAAGGGGCACUGGAGACUGCACUGAGGGUGAAGCUGGGGGCACUGGAAACUGCACUGAGG
Molecule: long non-coding RNA, 884 nt
Organism: Oreochromis aureus
Lineage: Eukaryota; Metazoa; Chordata; Actinopteri; Cichliformes; Cichlidae
Source: Ensembl